GUGGGGAAUAUUGGACAAUGGGCGCAAGCCUGAUCCAGCCAUGCCGCGUGAGUGAUGAAGGCCUUAGGGUUGUAAAGCUCUUUCACCGAUGAAGAUAAUGACGGUAGUCGGAGAAGAAGCCCCGGCUAACUUCGUGCCAGCAGCCGCGGUAAUACGAAGGGGGCUAGCGUUGUUCGGAUUUACUGGGCGUAAAGCGCACGUAGGCGGUUUGUUAAGUCAGAGGUGAAAUCCCGGAGCUCAACUCCGGAACUGCCUUUGAUACUGGCAAGCUAGAGUCCGGAAGAGGUAAGUGGAACUCCUAGUGUAGAGGUGGAAUUCGUAGAUAUUAGGAAGAACACCAGUGGCGAAGGCGGCUUACUAUUUCGUAAUUGACGCUGAGGCACGAAAGCGUGGGUAGCGAACAGGAUUAGAAACCCGGGUAGUCC
RNAcentral lists this ribosomal RNA (425 nucleotides) under uncultured bacterium. Its description in RNAcentral is "partial 16S ribosomal RNA". It matches the Rfam family "Bacterial small subunit ribosomal RNA", at positions 354 to 796 of the family's 1533-position model. The record is from RNAcentral.